RNAcentral lists this ribosomal RNA (506 nucleotides) under uncultured bacterium. Its description in RNAcentral is "partial 16S ribosomal RNA". It matches the Rfam family "Bacterial small subunit ribosomal RNA", at positions 29 to 523 of the family's 1533-position model. The record is from RNAcentral.
AUUGAACGCUGGCGGCAGGCCUAACACAUGCAAGUCGGACGGUAGCACAGAGGAGCUUGCUCCUCGGGUGACGAGUGGCGGACGGGUGAGUAAUGUCUGGGGAUCUGCCCGAUAGAGGGGGAUAACCACUGGAAACGGUGGCUAAUACCGCAUAACGUCGCAAGACCAAAGAGGGGGACCUUCGGGCCUCUCACUAUCGGAUGAACCCAGAUGGGAUUAGCUAGUAGGCGGGGUAACGGCCCACCUAGGCGACGAUCCCUAGCUGGUCUGAGAGGAUGACCAGCCACACUGGAACUGAGCAACGGUCCAGACUCCUACGGGAGGCAGCAGUGGGGAAUAUUGCACAAUGGGCGCAAGCCUGAUGCAGCCAUGCCGCGUGUAUGAAGAAGGCCUUCGGGUUGUAAAGUACUUUCAGCGGGGAGGAAGGCGGUGAGGUUAAUAACCUCGCCGAUUGACGUUACCCGCAGAAGAAGCACCGGCUAACUCCGUGCCAGCAGCCGCCGUAA